This 301-nucleotide ribosomal RNA is filed under the name uncultured bacterium. RNAcentral describes it as "partial 16S ribosomal RNA". It matches the Rfam family "Bacterial small subunit ribosomal RNA", at positions 509 to 807 of the family's 1533-position model. The record is from RNAcentral.
CAGCAGCCACGGUAAUACAGAGGGUGCGAGCGUUAAUCGGAUUUACUGGGCAUAAAGCGUGCGUAGGCGGCUAAUUGAGUCGGAUGUGAAAUCCCCGAGCUUAACUUGGGAAUUGCAUUCGAUACUGGUUAGCUAGAGUGUGGGAGAGGAUGGUAGAAUUCCAGGUGUAGCGGUGAAAUGCGUAGAGAUCUGGAGGAAUACCGAUGGCGAAGGCAGCCAUCUGGCCUAACACUGACGCUGAGGUACGAAAGCAUGGGGAGCAAACAGGAUUAGAUACCCCUGUAGUCCCUGUCUCUUAUAC